This 3525-nucleotide long non-coding RNA is filed under the name Mytilus galloprovincialis (Mediterranean mussel). Lineage: Eukaryota; Metazoa; Mollusca; Bivalvia; Mytilida; Mytilidae. The record is from RNAcentral.
UUUAACUGAUAUAAACCACUGUGUCUGGCUAAAUUAUAUCUAUUGUAGUUUUUCUAAUGGUAUUUAUUGCAAUGUUUAUGUCAGACAAUUCAAAAUUGUAAUCAGCAUUCAUGUAUUACUCUGUCGGUUUCUGUUGACCGAUGUACUCAACUAUUUUUUAAAAUACUAAGGAUUUUUUACCCAAGGAAUGGAUUGUCUUGGGUAUAUUUGGCAAACAUUUUACGUCUUUUGGGUUCUUAAGCCUAUCCAACAUAAUAUAUUUUUUGGCCUUUUAACUCGUUUGAUUCGAGCGUCAUAAUUGAGACUUUGUAGAUGAAAGUCCCGCGACCGAUGUGUACAAUUUUUCUCCUGGUGUCUUUGAUGACAUUAUUUAAGUAUAAAUCCUGGUGUCUGUCUGAUUUACGCUUGUUUUACACCUGGUAGGUAACAACGAAGCCUGGUUUGGUUAUGACCCAGGGUUUCCGUGUGAUACAGGCGUCGCAUUUCGUACAGGAUAUAACAUUAUUCAAAAUAUGUUGGACCAUGGACGUAUUAUAUUAACGUUAAUACUUCAAUGGUUGGACAUAAUUAGAAGCAAAUAUCAUACAAAACAGUUUGUUAUUCUACAAAUCCAAAUGCAUUGAUAAGUUAAAUAUGUAUAGUUAUGAUAUGUGAGAUAUUUAUGAGCAUAGACAAAACAUUAUUAUUAUUAAACAUUGGUCGUUUACAAAUUUACAUUCAUUUUAUACAACAUUUUAUGCAGUAACCUAAAUGCAUGUGCCCAAUGAUUGUUUUGGAGUAAAGACAUAUACUGAACUUCUUCCAUCCAACAGCAAAACACAUGCUAAAAUAAUGGGUCAUUGCAGCUUAUGGUUAUGGUUCAUUCAUCCCUGUCCUCUCAUCUUUCAAAAAUUAUCUAACAGAUUAAUUUUUAAUUUGAUCUAGUCCUGAAUGUGCAUACAAUGUUUGCCUCCUGACAUGAAGCAAACAACUACAAAUAUUUUAUGGUAGAUAUUGGAUUGUUCCUGUUGAAUUUAUUCACAAUUUUCUUUGACAAUUUAGAGCCUGUCAUAUUGUAAAGGCAUCUGUCUAUCACUGAAGAAUUAUUUUUUGGUUAAUUUUAUAUGGCUGCUCCCGUACGAAAUUAUAAGGCGAAUUAGGCCUGGAAAUAAGGCGUAAACCAGGCGUAAGUGGUAGUUACGUGUCUAGAUCCAGGCGUAAGGGAGCAGCAAAUGUAAAUUUGUAGUCCUUACGGGCGUAGAAAAAAGCAGUAAACCUGGCGUAAAUUAAGAUAAGCAAGGCGUAAAUUUUCUUACGGGCGUAAAACUGUUGGUAUGGCGUAAAUAGAAAUACCCAUAAUGCUUUGUUUAAAGGAUCAUGGGAUUUUUUUUUCUUCAAAAUUUGGCUCUUUGGUUUUAGUUUGCAUUGCAAGAGUUGGACUUAUGGCAGCUUCAUAUAUUCAGGGAUGAUUAGAUUGUUUUGCGAUUUUGGGAAGAAUUUGAAAUUGGAAAUACUGAAUCAAAUAAAUAAUGAAAAUUGUGAAAUAAAAGGAAAGUAGUAAUACAUGGCAAAUAAUAAUAAUGUGAGUAUAACUAAGUUAUUAAGUACUAUGUUCUAUCAGAAAUUUUGAAAUCCCAAAACCUUUAUCCAUGGAUAAUACCAUUAAUAUCUUUUACUUUUAGUUCAAAAGACAAUAAUUUUCAAAAACAACUUAGUUAAAAUGCUACUUUUAUUUCAAAAAAUAUUUAAUUGUCAUAAUUCUUAUUUAAACUUAAAUUUAUUUGAGCCAGUGUCUGUCUAAAAUGUAUUCAUUUCUAUAUUAGCUUCUUCAAUGGUUAAUAUUUCAAGUUUUUUGUCCAACAAUAAGAAAUAAAAGCAACAGUACAGAAGUUUGUUUCAUAUACACAAAAGUACACAGCUAGGGUAUUUACACUGAUCUAGAAUAAGUGUAGUAUUAUGUAAGGAUAUUACGCCUGGUUUAUUUAUUGACCAGGCGUACUCAUUUGCAUAAUACGCCUAUUUUUUGGUGAACCAGGCGUACUCAUUUAAAUAUUACGCCUAACUUUACGCCUGGUUUACGCCUCAGUUAUGCCUGAUUUACGCUCAGUUUACGCCUGGUUGACGCCUGGACAUGCAUUUUGUAAACACAGCAAUGACGCCAGGAUAUAGUAUGAUUUUAACGUCUGGUUUCCGUGUCAUAUACGGGCGUCACAGUUCGUACAGGAUGUUUCAUUGACCUAAAACAUAUUCUUUUAUUCAUAAUAACCUAUUAAUCUAUCUACAACAUUAUACACCAUUUUCUACUAACUAAACUUUUUUUCAAUGUUGAUAAAAGUAAUUUAAAUCAUCUAAAUGAUCUUCCUUCUGAAAACGGUGCAGUGUUGGUCCUUUUGACACAAGGCUUUAAUCCGAUUCAUUGCUCCGUUUUUGUAGAUUAAUAGACCAUAUUUAAUAUUGCUACUCCGUUUUGUAGAAUUAUACAUCGUGUUUUAUUAUAAGUAUUCUAUAUUUGUAAGUCACAGUUAUAUAUAUGUCAAUCAUGUUAGUUUUUACAAAUUUUGCAAAGUUAUUGUGUUUGAGAUAUGAAAUUAAAUGUGCAUUUUAAAUUUCGUCAUUAAUAAAAUAAUUAAUGAAAAUGAAAUGUUAUCAGUAAACAAGAAUCCAUAAUAUCACAAGGUGUUGUCAUAGCUAUACCUUACACCAUAAUUUAUAUUUAUUGGGAGGAGGAUAUAAUUAGCACACAUCAUUUAAGACCAUUUAAUAUGUGGGGUCUUUUCAAUUUAAUCCUUUUCAUGUAUUUAUUUUAAUUUGUAAGCAUAGUGAAAAAUUAUGUUUCAAUAUAUUUUCCUACUUUAGAGUUAAUAGUAGAUAUUGCUCACAGACUUUGUCAAUACUGCCUAAUGUUAUUGUUGUUACCUUCACCAAUGCAAAUAAUUCCAAUGUAUGUAUGACAUUUGUAUGAUAAUAGAUCUGUUGGAAUCUGAGGAGGGAGGAAUGUUUACUUUAAUGUACAUAACACUUCUGUGUCCAACUAUAUUAACUCAUUGAUUGUAUUUUUUGUAAUAAUGUUUCAGAAAUUCAGACAUUUGGAUUAUUUGUAUAUGUUUGGUUUUGGAAAUAUUUAUUACUAUAUAGAAUUUUCUCUGAUUCUGAAAUAAAAAGUUAUAUAUGUUUAACUAUGAUACGUACUAUAAGUAUGUAAAACUGUUUAAGAAUGUUUAUUAUAGUAAGUAGACUGAGAUUACUAUUGCUUUUGGCUUCUGUUCUAACCAAUCAUGUAUUUGUAUAGCAAUAUAGUUUUGUAUGUUUUAGUACAAAUUUAAAUCAUCUCCUUUUAUUUCUAAGUAAAAAGUAAACGAUGAUUUGAACACACAAAGUAUUUUUAUUUCUUUCUUUUCUUUUCUAUUAAUAGUAGUUUUCCAAAUUUAGUAACUGUAUUUCAAUAUCCCCCAUCGUAGCGGAGGGGCAUUGUGUUUUAUCCUUGUCCUCUGUACAUACGUACGUCCCAAAGUUGGUUUCUGUUCUCUAACGUUAGUUUGCCUCACC